GCUAGGCACAGUGGCGCAUGCCUGCAAUCCCAGGUUCUUGGGAGGCUGAGGCAGGAGGAAUGUAAAUUCAAGGCCAGCCUAGGAUACUUUUGAGACCCUGUCUCAA
RNAcentral lists this small RNA (106 nucleotides) under Marmota monax (woodchuck). Lineage: Eukaryota; Metazoa; Chordata; Mammalia; Rodentia; Sciuridae. The record is from RNAcentral.